GGGACACACGUGUUACAAUGGCAGGUACAGAGGGGUGCUACCGGGUGACCGGAUGCCGAUCUCGAAAACCUGUCCCAGUUCGGACUGGAGUCUGCAACCCGACUCCACGAAGUUGGAUUCGCUAGUAAUCGCGCAUCAGCCAUGGCGCGGUGAAUACGUUCCCGGGCCUUGUACACACCGCCCGUCAAGCCAUGGGAGCCGGGGGCGCCUGAAGUCCGGGACCGCGAGGACCGGCCUAGGGCGAAACUGGUGACUGGGGCUAAGUCGUAACAAGGUACC
This 279-nucleotide ribosomal RNA is filed under the name uncultured bacterium. RNAcentral's name for it is "partial 16S ribosomal RNA". It matches the Rfam family "Bacterial small subunit ribosomal RNA", at positions 1213 to 1500 of the family's 1533-position model. The record is from RNAcentral.